AGUGAACGCUGGCGGUAGGCCUAACACAUGCAAGUCGAACGGCAGCACAGUAAGAGCUUGCUCUUACGGGUGGCGAGUGGCGGACGGGUGAGGAAUACAUCGGAAUCUACUUUUUCGUGGGGAUAACGUAGGGAAACUUACGCUAAUACCGCAUACGACCUACGGGUGAAAGCAGGGGAUCUUCGGACCUUGCGCGAUUGAAUGAGCCGAUGUCGGAUUAGCUAGUUGGCGGGGUAAAGGCCCACCAAGGCGACGAACCGUAGCUGGUCUGAGAGGAUGAUCAGCCACACUGGAACUGAGACACGGUCCAGACUCCUACGGGAGGCAGCAGUGGGGAAUAUUGGACAAUGGGCGCAAGCCUGAUCCAGCCAUACCGCGUGGGUGAAGAAGGCCUUCGGGUUGUAAAGCCCUUUUGUUGGGAAAGAAAAGCAGCAGGUUAAUACCCCGCUGUUCUGACGGUACCCAAAGAAUAAGCACCGGCUAACUUCGUG
Molecule: ribosomal RNA, 491 nt
Filed under: uncultured bacterium
Lineage: Bacteria
Description: partial 16S ribosomal RNA
Rfam family: Bacterial small subunit ribosomal RNA
Source: RNAcentral